This 252-nucleotide ribosomal RNA is filed under the name uncultured bacterium. RNAcentral's name for it is "partial 16S ribosomal RNA". It matches the Rfam family "Bacterial small subunit ribosomal RNA", at positions 524 to 776 of the family's 1533-position model. The record is from RNAcentral.
UACGGAGGAUGCGAGCGUUAUCCGGAUUUAUUGGGUUUAAAGGGUGCGUAGGCGGACGCUUAAGUCAGCGGUAAAAUUGCGGGGCUCAACCUCGUCGAGCCGUUGAAACUGGGUGCCUUGAGUGGGCGAGAAGUACGCGGAAUGCGUGGUGUAGCGGUGAAAUGCAUAGAUAUCACGCAGAACUCCGAUUGCGAAGGCAGCGUACCGGCGCCCUACUGACGCUGAAGCACGAAGACGUGGGUAUCGAACAGG